This 425-nucleotide ribosomal RNA is filed under the name uncultured bacterium. Its description in RNAcentral is "bacterial SSU rRNA". It matches the Rfam family "Bacterial small subunit ribosomal RNA", at positions 356 to 773 of the family's 1533-position model. The record is from RNAcentral.
UAAGAAUAUUCCGCAAUGGACGAAAGUCUGACGGAGCGACGCCGCGUGGAUGAAGAAGGCCGAAAGGUUGUAAAGUCCUUUUGUCAACGAAGAAUAAGUGUGGGAGGGAAUGCCCGCAUGAUGACGUUAGUUGGCGAAUAAGCCCCGGCUAAUUACGUGCCAGCAGCCGCGGUAACACGUAAGGGGCAAGCGUUGUUCGGAAUUAUUGGGCGUAAAGGGCGCGUAGGCGGUUUUGCAAGCCCGGCGUGAAAUACUGGAGCUUAACUCCAGAACUGCGCUGGGAACUGCGAGACUUGAGUUAUGGAAGGGAAAUUGGAAUUCCAGGUGUAGGGGUGAAAUCUGUAGAUAUCUGGAAGAACACCGGUGGCGAAGGCGAAUUUCUGGCCAAUAACUGACGCUGAGGCGCGAAAGUGCGGGGAGCAAAC